CCUUGGGAUUGGGACAUCGACGGGC
This 25-nucleotide microRNA is filed under the name Canis lupus familiaris (dog). RNAcentral describes it as "cfa-miR-8849". The record is from miRBase by way of RNAcentral. Lineage: Eukaryota; Metazoa; Chordata; Mammalia; Carnivora; Canidae.